Small nucleolar RNA from Gossypium arboreum, 106 nucleotides. It matches the Rfam family "Plant small nucleolar RNA R71". Rfam says of the family: R71 is a member of the C/D box family of snoRNAs containing the C (UGAUGA) and D (CUGA) box motifs. Multiple nearly identical copies of this snoRNA have been identified in Arabidopsis, and it is thought to function as a 2'-O-ribose methylation guide for 18S ribosomal RNA. NCBI's taxonomy places the organism in Eukaryota, Viridiplantae, Streptophyta, Magnoliopsida, Malvales, Malvaceae. The record is from Rfam.
AAUCCGUGGUGUAGGCAUUUUUGAAUCAAUGUUUUGAAAUGUUCCCAAGCCUUAUGGAAAUAUUCUCCUUCCAUCUGUCUGAAAAAAACAAUCUCUCUCCUUAAUU